RNAcentral lists this ribosomal RNA (496 nucleotides) under uncultured bacterium. RNAcentral describes it as "partial 16S ribosomal RNA". It matches the Rfam family "Bacterial small subunit ribosomal RNA", at positions 29 to 507 of the family's 1533-position model. The record is from RNAcentral.
AUGAACGCUGGCGGCGUGCCUAAUCCAUGCAAGUCGCGCGAACAGACGAGGAGCUUGCUCCUCUGACGUUAGCGGCGGACGGGUGAGUAACACGUGGAUAACCUACCUAUAAGACUGGGAUAACUUCGGGAAACCGGAGCUAAUACCGGAUAAUAUAUUGAACCGCAUGGUUCAAUAGUGAAAGACGGUUUUGCUGUCACUUAUAGAUGGAUCCGCGCCGCAUUAGCUAGUUGGUAAGAUAACGGCUUACCAAGGCAACGAUGCGUAGCCGACCUGAGAGGGUGAUCGGCCACACUGGAACUGAGACACGGUCCAGACUCCUACGGGAGGCAGCAGUAGGGAAUCUUCCGCAAUGGGCGAAAGCCUGACGGAGCAACGCCGCGUGAGUGAUGAAGGUCUUCGGAUCGUAAAACUCUGUUAUUAGGGAAGAACAAAUGUGUAAGUAACUAUGCACGUCUUGACGGUACCUAAUCAGAAAGCCACGGCUAACUACGUG